This 427-nucleotide ribosomal RNA is filed under the name uncultured bacterium. RNAcentral describes it as "bacterial SSU rRNA". It matches the Rfam family "Bacterial small subunit ribosomal RNA", at positions 917 to 1359 of the family's 1533-position model. The record is from RNAcentral.
GGACCCGCACAAGCGGUGGAGCGUGUUCUUUAAUUCGAUGCUAAACGAAGAACCUUACCCAGGCUUGACAUCCUCUGAAUUUUUCCGAAAGGAAAGAGUGCUUUAUUGAACAGAGUGACAGAUCUUGCAUGGCCGUCGUCAGCUCGUGUCGUGAGAUGUUUGGUUAAGUCCAUCAACGAGCGCAACCCUUACUGUUAGUUGUAUUUUUCUAGCAGGACUGCUUCGGUAACGGAGAGGAAGGGGGGGAUGAUGUCAGGUCAGUAUUAGUCUUACGUCUGGGGCUAGAAACGCGCUACAAUGGUCAGUACAACGGGCAGCUAAGUUGCAAAACGGAGCAAAUCCCAUCAAAACUGAUCCCAGUUCGGACUGGGGGCUGAAACUCGCCCCACGAAGUCGGAAUCGCUAGUAAUCGCAGAUCAGCACGCUG